UACGAAGGGGGCUAGCGUUGCUCGGAAUCACUGGGCGUAAAGGGUGCGUAGGCGGGUUUUUAAGUCAGGGGUGAAAUCCUGGAGCUCAACUCCAGAACUGCCUUUGAUACUGAAGAUCUUGAGUUCGGGAGAGGUGAGUGGAACUGCGAGUGUAGAGGUGAAAUUCGUAGAUAUUCGCAAGAACACCAGUGGCGAAGGCGGCUUACUGGACCGGUUCUGACGCUGAGGCGCGAAAGCGUGGGGAGCAAACAGG
RNAcentral lists this ribosomal RNA (253 nucleotides) under uncultured bacterium. RNAcentral describes it as "partial 16S ribosomal RNA". It matches the Rfam family "Bacterial small subunit ribosomal RNA", at positions 524 to 776 of the family's 1533-position model. The record is from RNAcentral.